RNAcentral lists this long non-coding RNA (546 nucleotides) under Nicotiana benthamiana. RNAcentral's name for it is "long non-coding RNA (NBEN_LNC035294)". The record is from RNAcentral. Lineage: Eukaryota; Viridiplantae; Streptophyta; Magnoliopsida; Solanales; Solanaceae.
GUGACUACUUUUCUCUCCACAAUCACCUUUUUUCUUAGGCCACAUCUCUCGAAAUUUAUGGAAGGCCACCUGGCUCACAAAUAAAUCCUGCCAUACCUCAGCCUUUCUCGUUCUUUCAAUGCCACCAACACCCGGUACCCUACUUUUCGAGACCUCGUCAUCACUGUUGUCCUUAUCUGCUACACCCUCCCCGAAUUCUGAAGUUGUGGGGGAGGUGGAUUAUUUGGCAUUGCCCGCUUCUGAGCCAUCAGACAACUCAGGUUGUGUAGUAGUUGGAGCUCGGGCUGGGACUGGGGGUUUUGCCCCAAAUCUGCAGAGAGGUCCUAAGAGGGGAGGUACUCACUCCCCGACUACUCCUUAUCGCUCACUACUUGCUUUCUUGUCUUUAGUUUUGGUUGGGGAGUGAGUUUCUUCAAUUUACCUUUACCUCCCCAUGAGGGUUCACCUCGUCCGAGUUUUUUAGAACCACGACCUCUUUGCUUUACCAUUGUCUACAAGCAAAGACAUCUAGCUUUGUUAGUUCUGGCAAUUUCAGAACAAUUUUAG